AUAAGAUUGUCUGAUUGUCGACUAAGCAUUUUCCGCCACUAAAAAGCACCCGAUUCCCGCCGGUGAUCGUGUAUGUUCGGAGAAAAAUUCGGUCGUUUGACGUGAAUGACAAGAAUAACGACACGAAUGUUCCCGCUUUUUUUGCGUUUGUUGUGUUGGUUGUUUACUUUCGUAAAAAAGCUCUAACUAAUUUGAUCGAUUAUUGCGAUUAUACUGAACUUUUCUUUGUUUCUUUGUGAAAUAUCGACCAUAUUGUUGCUUAUAGUGUUUUAAAAUAAUACCUGAAAAGCAGUAUUAAGUCCAAUUCAGCGAUUUUAGCUGUAAAGAUGGACGGCCCUACUGAAAACCAUCAGAAUCAGGACCAAACUAUCAACAAAAAUAUGUGCCACUUAUGCAGUAAAAUGUUUUCUCCCAUUUCAGCUAAGAACAAACAUAUUAAGGUUAUUCAUAAGCAGCAACCCAGGUAACCCAAAGUCACGCAUUUCUUGUCCCUUAUGCAGAGACUAAGUAUUCCUGUAAAACUUGAAGCUCAUUUACAGUUAAGUCAUGAUAUCAAAAUAGUCCUCAACUUUCCAUUUUUCCAGCGAAGAAAGAUUUGAGGAAUAGUUAAGAGAGCAUAAAAUAUGCACACUUGUUCGCACAAGAAAAAUUGAAGACAAGAUUGAAAAAGUAUAUUGUUGCAAUCGAAGCGAUUUUAGAGGUAAAUUUGUAGCAAUUUCAAUUCAAGCAAAGUAUUUAUUACAUACUGUACAUAUUCACUGGACUAUUUAGUGAAAGAUUGCUAAACAUGUUCUUAAUGUGUAGCUGUUUCUAGGAUUUCAAAGCAAAUGUAGUGUGAGAACAAUAAAAUGUAGUGGUUCUAUUAAAAUGAAUGGUGUAUGUCCUUCUCGUUUAAAUGUCAAGAUUUAUGGUGCAAGUAACAUUAUAUAGUCCUUUAGGGUAUCCACACAACGGGCCUGGAUGAUCACCAGUAGCAUGCCUGUAAGCCUUAUUUUUGUAUUGUCUUUAUGGUGUGAGCAAAGGAAGGGAAGCGAUUCUGUUUUAGGUGAACUCCUUGGGGAAUGUUCUUCCAAUAAUAUUGAAGCUAGCCAUAGUGUAGAAAUUGAAAUGUUUGUUAAUGAGAAGCCAACUGAAAAUCAACAAGUAGUAGUACAACGACUGAACAAGCAAUCAACAAGAGAAAUUGAAAUUGAGAAUGUAUCAAACUUUUUAAGAUCUUUAAAUGAUGAAACUUAUGAUAAGUACACGAGACAACUGACAUCAAUGAUGGAACAGGUAAAUAAGACAAAUACAGGUAAACGAAAAAUGGACAAACAAGUUUAUUUGCCAUCAAAGAAGAAGAAGGAGCAGUAAAUAAAAAUAAUAAAUUGUAUAUUUUUUUCUAUUUAUCAGUAUUUUUUUUAUAUAAUAGGUAUAUUUUUAUAGUUUUAAGUAUAUAUGUAUAUGUGUAUUUUAAUUUUUUAUGUAAGUUUUAGGCAAAUAUUUGAAAAAAUAUUACCUAUCUCAUAAG
Anthonomus grandis grandis is the source of this 1510-nucleotide long non-coding RNA. RefSeq lists it as uncharacterized. The record is from RefSeq and is a predicted model, not a curated record. NCBI's taxonomy places the organism in Eukaryota, Metazoa, Arthropoda, Insecta, Coleoptera, Curculionidae. The transcript is spliced from 2 exons.